UGAAGUGAUUGUAGAAUGCAAUCACGUUAAUCUAAAGAAAGUUCGAUCGGU
This 51-nucleotide non-coding RNA is filed under the name unclassified sequences. The record is from Rfam.